GGGGGAAGGGAUCAAGCACAUUCAGGGUCGAGUCUUUCCAACCUUCUUCCUUCCGCUGCGAGUCCCUCAUUGCACGUAGAUUAACUUCAACGCAGCGCUUUGGGUCUUUUGUCUUCGCCCUGUUGCACAAAGGAGAGCUAAUGUUUAAAAAGAAAAAAGAGAUUUUUCUAAAUGAAACAGUAUGAUUUAAGCACAGCCAGGCUGAAACUGGAUAAUCAACACUACCAUCCUCCACCCGGAGUAAACACAGGUGCAGCUUUCGGCUGUCUUCGCCUUUUUUCUGGACAGUUAGGGAAGCUAUCAUGAACCAACAGGACCGGAUCAUCGGACCCCCAAACAACUAUUCAAUGACAUCUUACUAUCAGAAAACAUAUGGGAAAUUAGCUUUUUGUAAUUUGG
This is a long non-coding RNA of Gasterosteus aculeatus aculeatus (three-spined stickleback), 399 nucleotides long. The record is from Ensembl. NCBI's taxonomy places the organism in Eukaryota, Metazoa, Chordata, Actinopteri, Perciformes, Gasterosteidae.